CUACGGGGUGCAGCAGUGAGGAAUAUUGCACAAUGGGGGGAACCCUGAUGCAGCAACGCCGCGUGGAGGAUGACGCAUUUCGGUGUGUAAACUCCUUUUAUAUGUCAAGAAAAUGACGGUAGCAUAUGAAUAAGCACCGGCUAACUCCGUGCCAGCAGCCGCGGUAAUACGGAGGGUGCAAGCGUUACUCGGAAUCACUGGGCGUAAAGGACGCGUAGGCGGGUUGGAAAGUCAGGUGUGAGAUCCUACAGCUUAACUGUAGAACUGCACUUGAAACUUCUAAUCUAGAGUAUGGGAGGGGGAGAUGGAAUUAGUGGUGUAGGGGUAAAAUCCGUAGAUAUCACUAGGAAUACCUAAAGCGAAGGCGAUCUCCUGGAACAUUACUGACGCUCAGAUGCGAAAGCGUGGGGAGCAAACAGGAUUAGAUACCCCGGUAGUC
This 439-nucleotide ribosomal RNA is filed under the name uncultured bacterium. Its description in RNAcentral is "partial 16S ribosomal RNA". It matches the Rfam family "Bacterial small subunit ribosomal RNA", at positions 339 to 795 of the family's 1533-position model. The record is from RNAcentral.